AAUCAACGCUGGCGGCGUGCCUCAGACAUGCAAGUCGAACGAUUAAGACUCUCUUCGGAGAGUGUAUAAAGUGGCGCACGGGUGAGUAACACGUAGGUAAUGUACCGUAGGGUGGGGAAUAACUUAGGGAAACUUAAGCUAAUACCGCAUAAUGCAGCGGCUCGACAUCGAGACAGUUGUUAAAGGAGCAAUCCGCCUUAUGAGCAGCCUGCGGCAGAUUAGCUAGUUGGUAAGGUAAUGGCUUACCAAGGCUACGAUCUGUAACCGACCUGAGAGGGUGGUCGGUCACACUGACACUGAAUAACGGGUCAGACUCCUACGGGAGGCAGCAGUCGGGAAUUUUGGGCAAUGGGCGAAAGCCUGACCCAGCAACGCCGCGUGAAGGAUGAAGUAUUUCGGUAUGUAAACUUCGUAAGAAUAGGAAGAAUAAAUGACGGUACUAUUUGUAAGGUCCGGCUAACUACGUGCCAGCAGCCGCGGUAAGGCACGACUGU
This 494-nucleotide ribosomal RNA is filed under the name uncultured bacterium. RNAcentral's name for it is "bacterial SSU rRNA". It matches the Rfam family "Bacterial small subunit ribosomal RNA", at positions 32 to 532 of the family's 1533-position model. The record is from RNAcentral.